UAGGGAAUCUUCCGCAAUGGGCGAAAGCCUGACGGAGCAAUGCCGCGUGGAGGUGGAAGGCCUACGGGUCGUCAACUUCUUUUCUCGGAGAAGAAACAAUGACGGUAUCUGAGGAAUAAGCAUCGGCUAACUCUGCGCCAG
This 141-nucleotide ribosomal RNA is filed under the name uncultured bacterium. RNAcentral describes it as "partial 16S rRNA". It matches the Rfam family "Bacterial small subunit ribosomal RNA", at positions 355 to 511 of the family's 1533-position model. The record is from RNAcentral.